UCUACUAACCAUUCGUUCAUCUUC
This 24-nucleotide non-coding RNA is filed under the name Arabidopsis thaliana (thale cress). Lineage: Eukaryota; Viridiplantae; Streptophyta; Magnoliopsida; Brassicales; Brassicaceae. The record is from RNAcentral.